Molecule: ribosomal RNA, 523 nt
Filed under: Lasiodiplodia sp. J13-1-6J
Lineage: Eukaryota; Fungi; Ascomycota; Dothideomycetes; Botryosphaeriales; Botryosphaeriaceae
Description: eukaryotic LSU rRNA
Rfam family: 5.8S ribosomal RNA (bases 158-311)
Source: RNAcentral
UACCUGCGGAAGGGACAUUACCGAGUUUUCGGGCUUCGGCUCGACUCUCCCACCCUUUGUGAACGUACCUCUGUUGCUUUGGCGGCUCCGGCCGCCAAAGGACCUCCAAACUCCAGUCAGUAAACGCAGACGUCUGAUAAACAAGUUAAUAAACUAAAACUUUCAACAACGGAUCUCUUGGUUCUGGCAUCGAUGAAGAACGCAGCGAAAUGCGAUAAGUAAUGUGAAUUGCAGAAUUCAGUGAAUCAUCGAAUCUUUGAACGCACAUUGCGCCCCUUGGUAUUCCGGGGGGCAUGCCUGUUCGAGCGUCAUUACAACCCUCAAGCUCUGCUUGGAAUUGGGCACCGUCCUCACUGCGGACGCGCCUCAAAGACCUCGGCGGUGGCUGUUCAGCCCUCAAGCGUAGUAGAAUACACCUCGCUUUGGAGUGGUUGGCGUCGCCCGCCGGACGAACCUUCUGAACUUUUCUCAAGGUUGACCUCGGAUCAGGUAGGGAUACCCGCUGAACUUAAGCAUAUCAAAA